AGCGCAGGGAACGGCGGGAGCCGGGAGGUGACGGCUAGCAGCGUGAGAAGGCCGCUGGCUCCUGAGAAAUCCCCCUCCUCCAGGUGGUUUUGUCCUUUUGGACCAAUUAUCUAACCUGGGCCUGGACUCCAUCUACCACUGUCCUGCCUAGUUCACUGCAGCUCACUUCAUCUUCCUGUGCCUUCUCUGAAAGGGCCCCUCCAAAAGUUUCCUGGGUAUGUCCCCUCAAGAGAUGGGGUUUCACCAUGUUUCCCAGGCUGGUCUCGAACUCCUGGGACCUCAAGUGAUCCGCCCACCUCGGGCUCCCGAAGUCCUGGGAUUAUAGGCGUGAACCACCGUGCCUGACCAGGAUGAUGGGAAUUUUUAAUGGGAAGGCUGUGACACAACAAUUUUGUUGAAACAAUUUUGUUUCAACUAGAAGGUCAGAGGCAAAAAAAAGAAAUGCUAAGUCUGAUUAAAAGGGCCCCAGUACCUUCAAGGCCUGUCUAUGGUGGUACGGAGUGAUUAUUUCUAUCUUAUCUCUUUUACAGCUUGGUCUGGAGAGCUGCCUUAGACUUCCCAAUGAAUUUAUUAAAACAGCUGCCUCUGUAACCUUGACUUGUCUCAGAUUUUGUCGACCUGAGAUGGGUCCUGGCACUAGGAAUGUAAAACUGUCUCUAUUAUUUUGGUUUGCUCCAGCAAGGGAGAAGCCCAUGCAAGGCUCCUACUGACUGUAUGUUUCAUUUCUAGCUUGGAUGUCUCAGCACUGAUUUCUCUAGGUUUAACUAUUUGCUCAAUGUUCAGGCAGCGCUGUGGAAAUCUGUCUGUGGAACGGGUGCUACGCAGGCCUGUCUGUGCGACUGUCAUGCAGGCCUGUCUGUGCGAUUGUCAGGGAGAAUUGGCCUGCCACACUCCCACUCAUUUCUGCAUUCUCAUUAAGGCAUAUUAAGGAUUAGAAAGGGAUUGCUAGGCCAGGCCUGGCUAGUCUUCCUUAAAUGGAACUUUCAGAAAGAAAGGGGAAAACCAAAACAAUUUCCCCCUUCAACUUUUUAACUGUGUUUCUCUCGGGCCAAAGACCUCUUAGGGAUUUCCCCCGGGAGCUCUUUUUGCGAAGGAUGUUUUAUUUUUCCUUUGUGAAUAGGGACUAAUUCAUUCAUUAAAGCAACAUCUACUGAGCUUGUAUUACAGGUAAGCACUGCUCCAGGUGCUGGGGAAAACGGAGUGAACUGAAAUCACAAAAACCCUGCAGCACUCAUGCCAUGUACGUUCUAUUGAGGAAAACAAGCAAUAAACAAGAUUAAUAAU
RNAcentral lists this long non-coding RNA (1284 nucleotides) under Pan troglodytes (chimpanzee). RNAcentral's name for it is "lincRNA". Lineage: Eukaryota; Metazoa; Chordata; Mammalia; Primates; Hominidae. The record is from RNAcentral.